UAACUGCGAGUGAAGCGGGAAGAGCUCAAAUUUGUAAUCUGGCGGUCUCUGGCCGUCCGAGUUGUAAUCUGUAGAGGCGUCGUCCGCGUCGGCCCGUGUACAAGUCUCCUGGGAUGGAGCGUCAUAGAGGGUGAGAAUCCCGUCCAUGACAUGGACCACCGAUGCUUUGUGAGGUGCCCUCGAAGAGUCGCGUUGUUUGGGAAUGCAGCGCAAAAUGGGUGGUAAAUUCCAUCUAAGGCUAAAUAUUGGCGAGAGACCGAUAGCGAACAAGUACCGUGAGGGAAAGAUGAAAAGCACUUUGGAAAGAGAGUUAAACAGUACGUGAAAUUGUUGAAAGGGAAACGCUUGAAGUCAGUCGCGUCCCGUGGCACUCAGCCUUGCUUCGGCUUGGUGUACUUGCCUUGGGACGGGUCAACAUCAAUUUUGGCCGGUGGACAAGGGUGAGGGGAAUGUAGCGUUGUUUCGGCGACGUGUUAUAGCCCCUUGUCGAAUACACCGGCUGGGAUUGAGGACCGCAGCACGCCCUUGUGGCCGGGGGUUCGCCCCAUGUAACGUGCUUAGGAUGUUGGCAUAAUGGCUUUAAGCGACCCGUCUUGAAACACGGACCAAGGAGUCUAACAUGCUUGCGAGUGUUCGGGUGGAAAACCCUUGCGCGUAAUGAAAGUGAAAGUUGGGAGCCUCCGUGAGGGGGUGCACCGACGCCUGGCCCUGACGUUCUCUGACGGUGCUGCGGUAGAGCAAGUAUGUUGGGACCCGAAAGAUGGUGAACUAUGCCUGAAUAGGGCGAAGCCAGAGGAAACUCUGGUGGAGGCUCGUAGCGAUUCUGACGUGCAAAUCGAUCGUCAAAUUUGGG
This 853-nucleotide ribosomal RNA is filed under the name Phylloporia pulla. Its description in RNAcentral is "partial large subunit ribosomal RNA". It matches the Rfam family "Eukaryotic large subunit ribosomal RNA", at positions 84 to 915 of the family's 3401-position model. Lineage: Eukaryota; Fungi; Basidiomycota; Agaricomycetes; Hymenochaetales; Hymenochaetaceae. The record is from RNAcentral.